AAUUUUCGCAAGUACUCCUAAAUUUUAGUCGUUUUCCUUUCUCUUUUUUUUCCUUAUUCAACAAUUGUAUAUGUAUUGUGUUUCUUAUGUUUUUUCAUAUUUUUUUUGUGAAAUAAUCGAUUGUUUGUUCUUAUUAGAUCACAAAUUCUUCACAGAAUGAAUGAAUCAUCUUCAUCUAUGAGGAUUACUAGAGGGUCUACGGUAAAAUCCAAACAAUUUCAACAUGAACCAACAAUGGAAGAAUUGAGAUCAAAGAAAAAAUAUAACCCUACGGCAGUUCAAGAAGUUCUUAACAAUGCCAAAGCUAAAGGCAUUAAAAUUGUACAAGGAGGAAGAUAGAGGAAAGCAGUAAACAUUGAUUUAGAGGAGAAUGCAUCUGAAAUUGACGGAUCUGAAGAACAUCAUAAUCAUGAGGUAGUGGCUUAAAACACAACUUUAGAUACAAUUUUUUUGUUACGUAGGCGUCAAUAUACAAAAAAUUAUUUGUUUUAGUAGAUUGUGUAUUAACGUAAUUGUAUAUAGUAUAUUGAAUGUUUAGUACACACAUGUUUUAGUUAUUUA
Solanum pennellii is the source of this 561-nucleotide long non-coding RNA. RefSeq lists it as uncharacterized. The record is from RefSeq and is a predicted model, not a curated record. The transcript is spliced from 2 exons. NCBI's taxonomy places the organism in Eukaryota, Viridiplantae, Streptophyta, Magnoliopsida, Solanales, Solanaceae.